CAGAAGUCCACCAGUAAACCUGCUCCUCUGUCCGGAGGAACCUCUUCCUCUUCCUCCUGAUCCUUAACAGGAGCGAGACGAUGGAUAGAAAAGGUCUACAGCUUCUCCAAGACGAAGAGGCAGUUCUUCAUCUUUCCCUUAAGGUUUCGCCCACAUCUCAUGGUGCUUCUGCCAGGCUGUGGCCAACCCAACUUCCCUGCCAACGCUCUGUCAGGACUUAAAUUAAACUGAAAUCAACACGCCAACACAGAUAUUUGCAUUUGAUCAAAAUAUUUUCUUUAUUCUGCAACAGAUGCGAACAUGGUAGAGCUCCACUGAUACACGAGUUCAUCUCGUACAAACAAAUUCAGAAUUUUACAACCAACAACUUCUGCAACCGAUACGAGAAAGAAAGGUGAGGCGUGAC
This is a long non-coding RNA of Girardinichthys multiradiatus, 406 nucleotides long. RefSeq lists it as uncharacterized. NCBI's taxonomy places the organism in Eukaryota, Metazoa, Chordata, Actinopteri, Cyprinodontiformes, Goodeidae. The transcript has 2 exons. The record is from RefSeq and is a predicted model, not a curated record.